CCGAGGAGGGCUGGGCAGCCACGUGACCAUGUUGGCGAGGGAGCGCCUUACUCCAGCAGGGACAGGAUUGCUGAGGAUUGUGCAAGGUUGAGGUCAAAUGGGGAAGAUGAUGCAUGACAAACCCAUGUCUGCAGAGCAUGGCUAGGCUGCAGAGGGGCUAGUGAGGCCCAUUCCCGCUCAGCUCCAGUAACUGGCCGGUGGCUCUCAGUGAGGACCCUGCUCCUUGGGAGUACCCAUGAAGGGAAGAAGAAACCUGGAGAUGACGACUCACUCCAGAUACUGUUGCAUCAAGAAGACGUUCUUUCAUCGGAAUUUGAGAGCCAUUAGUGAUGUUUUGAGGGCAGAGUUUUGAUUCACUUACAGCUAUGAAUAAUAAAGACUGAUAAUACAGAAACGAUCUCUUCACAGGAAGAGACUCCCAGGAAGAGCUACUUGGAGCAAGUGUUCAAGCUCCUAGCAUGGUUGGAGACCCAGGCUGCUCCAAGAUUUUGGGUUUGUGUUCCAAUGCAUCACGUUCAUGCUCACAGUUACCUCAGGGUUCACAGUGGCUGCCAGGCUCCUUCCACUGCCCCUGCAUUCCAGGCUCAUCAAGGGUGAAAGAAGGAGCAGCAAGCGGGUUGUUCAGCUCAGCUGGGCGGCGUUCCCAGCAGUCUCUGGUGAGUUACGUCAUUGGCCAGAACUCAGCAAGAUGCUGACCCUGUUGUUCUGGAUGGUGCAACAGCCCGUUGGAAGAGUUCUCUUAAUAGGAGAAUAUGGCUGGAUCUUGAGAGCUCAAGAUCUGCAAGCCACAGACAACAGAAUGGAAAGCAGGGAACUGAAAUCUAAGGGUUGCUUUCCACAUCAUGAGAGCCCCACAGCACCGCUGGCAUGAAGCACCCCGACACCAAGCUCAGAAACACGGAGCCACAGCUCUAGUUCAUGUGCUCUGAGAGAGGGCGAUUUAUCGGGCAGUUUGUACCGUUCUCAGGGCAGAGCUCUGGACUCCUCUGCCGCCUCCACCCAGCAGGGAUUUGGUCAUCUCCUUAAGUGUGACCUCAUAGUUUCAUUUAAAAGGAGUUUUCCUAAUACGUUGAAAAAAAAAAAAUACAGUUGAAUCAUGGCAUGACCCUGUUGUGUAAAGCGAGAUAUCUGGUCCCGUUUCCCUGUGGCUGCGGGUUCUGGGUUGGAGGGCCAAGCGGUACAAAGCCGCUUCUUUCAUGAAGACCGCUGCCUUUUUCUUUAUUUCCAAAGUGGC
Molecule: long non-coding RNA, 1234 nt
Filed under: Meriones unguiculatus (Mongolian gerbil)
Lineage: Eukaryota; Metazoa; Chordata; Mammalia; Rodentia; Muridae
Description: lncRNA (ENSMUGG00000015673.1)
Source: RNAcentral